RNAcentral lists this ribosomal RNA (279 nucleotides) under uncultured bacterium. RNAcentral's name for it is "partial 16S ribosomal RNA". It matches the Rfam family "Bacterial small subunit ribosomal RNA", at positions 506 to 784 of the family's 1533-position model. The record is from RNAcentral.
UGCCAGCAGCCGCGGUAAGACGAGCCACCCAAACGUUAUUCGGAAUUACUGGGCUUAAAGGGUGUGUAGGCGGUGUAGCAAGUCGGGAGUGAAAUACCUCAGCUUAACUGAGGAACUGCUUUCGAUACUGCUAUGCUUGGGUGAGACAGAGGUAAGCGGAACUUAGGGUGGAGCGGUGAAAUGCGUUGAUAUCCUAAGGAACACCGGUGGCGAAGGCGGCUUACUGGGUCUCUACUGACGCUGAGGCACGAAAGCCAGGGUAGCAAACGGGAUUAGAUA